This 201-nucleotide unclassified non-coding RNA is filed under the name plant metagenome. Its description in RNAcentral is "partial contains small subunit ribosomal RNA, internal transcribed spacer 1, and 5.8S ribosomal RNA". The record is from RNAcentral.
UUUCCGUAGGUGAACCAGCGGAGGGAUCAUUAUCGAGUUUAUAACUCCCAAACCCUAUGUGAACUUACCACUUGUUGCUUCGGCGCGCGCUUCGGCGCCGCCGAGGACACUUAAACUCUUUGUUUCUAUAAGCAUUUCUGAGUGGCCGAAAGGCAAAAUACAAAUGAAUCAAAACUUUCAACAACGGAUCUCUUGGUUCUG